GGAGUCUGGACCGUGUCUCAGUUCCAGUGUGGCCGAUCAGCCUCUCAGCUCGGCUACCCAUCGUCGGCAUGGUGGGCCAUUACCCCGCCAUCUACCUAAUGGGACGCGAGCCCCUCUCAGUGCGGAUUGCUCCUUUGACCCCUCCGUCAUGCGGCGGUGUGGUCUCAUGCGGUAUUAGCACCUGUUUCCAAGUGUUAUCCCCCUCACUGAGGCAGGUUGCUCACGCGUUACUCACCCGUUCGCCACUAAGUACGGAAAGCACCAAUCACUCUCUUGCAUGUGUUGGUAUGCUUUUUUUGCCUACAGACUGCUUCGCAGUCUGAGACGCUGUCGGAAGCAAUUGGUGCUUUCCAUACUCCGUUCGACUUGCAUGUGUUAGGCAUGCCGCCAG
RNAcentral lists this ribosomal RNA (391 nucleotides) under uncultured Coriobacteriales bacterium. RNAcentral's name for it is "partial 16S ribosomal RNA". Lineage: Bacteria; Bacillati; Actinomycetota; Coriobacteriia; Coriobacteriales. The record is from RNAcentral.